CCAUCGGCGCUGCACACGACC
This 21-nucleotide unclassified non-coding RNA is filed under the name Chlamydomonas reinhardtii. RNAcentral describes it as "small RNA Cre_1025". Lineage: Eukaryota; Viridiplantae; Chlorophyta; Chlorophyceae; Chlamydomonadales; Chlamydomonadaceae. The record is from RNAcentral.